Molecule: long non-coding RNA, 34331 nt
Filed under: Physcomitrium patens
Lineage: Eukaryota; Viridiplantae; Streptophyta; Bryopsida; Funariales; Funariaceae
Description: long non-coding RNA (PPAT_LNC010344)
Source: RNAcentral
GUGAUUUGAAUGUGUAUUGACUUUGUAAGAGCUUUGCAAAGUUGAGGUUUGUUUUGGAUGACUCUAGAUUUGUGAAAUAAAAUGGGUGAUAAUUUUUGGAGAAUUACAUAAGUUUGACAAUAGAUGUACAAGUGAAAUUUUAAAAGUUUGUGGGUUUAUAUAUGCUCAAUAUAUGCUGUGAGUUUGAACUUGAUUAAAGAGUUGGGUCGAAGAUUAUUGAGGUUUAAGUGGAUUGGAUUCUUAGAAAGUAGAGUUUUAGGUCUAGUGAGGGUUUAUAAGAUUUUUUACAAUCUAUCAAUUGAAUUGGAGUAAAAAUUAUGUAUAUGAAUAGAAGACUUGUUUUCUUAAGUAUUUGAGAAAUUUGAGAUCAAUUGAAUGGUUCAAUAAGGAGAUAUUGGCAUUGGAAAUUCAACAUUUAAAUUAGAGAAGGAGGCCGGCCUGCAUCUGUGCAAAUAUUAGGAUUGAUCUUUUUUUUGGUGAGUUUGUUCUUCUUCAAAAUAUUUGUACUUGUUGCCAACUUAAUUAUCAAGAAGUAUGGAAAUUUUGCGUCAAAAUCAAUAGUUCAUUCAUUAGUUAUUGAGGUUUAAAUCUGCUAUAAGAAUUACUUGGAAUUAUUGAAGAUUUGGUCAGGAUAUGUUUAGGAUUUGAUUAGGGUUCGGUUAAGGUUUGUUUAGGUUUGUAUAGGGUUUGGUUAGGAUUUGGUUAGGAUUUGACUGGGAUUUGGUUAGAUUUUGGUUAGGAUUUGUUUAGGAUUUGAUUAGGAUUUAAUUAAGAUUAUUUAGGAUUUAUUUAGGAUUUCACUAGGAUUUAUUUAGGCUUUGGUUAGGAUUUUUUUAGGAUUUAUUUAGGAUUUGAUUAGGAUUUGAUUAAGAUUUGAUUAGGAUUUGAUUAGGAUUUAUUUAGGAUUUGAAUAAGGUUUUUUUAGGAUUUGAUUAAGGUUUUAUUAGGAUUUAUUAGGAUUUGAAUAGGAAUUUAUUUAGGAUUUGAUUAGGAUUUAAUUGAGAUUUCUAUUUUAAUAUUUUAUUAAUAUUUCUAUUUUAGUAUAUUUUUGAAUUUCUAUGUUAUUUCUUUAUGAUUUCUUUAAAGGUUCUUUAGGAAUACUUUAUGUUUCUUACAUAAUUCUUUUGCAAUUUUGAUUGAAUUUAAUUGAUGUUUGAUUAUACUUGCUAAUCUUUAAUUAUAAUUUAUUUAAAAAUAUAUUAAAGUUAUUAGGACUUAUUCUUGCGAUUUUCUUUUUAUCUUCCAUAGUUAGGUGCCCAAUGCAUUUUCAAGCCAAACAUUAAUUAUUAUGAUAAUAGUAUCAAAAUAAAUUAGAAUACCUUACUCAUUGGUAUGGAUAUGAUAUUUAUAAAUACACAUAGGAGCCAAUAAAGAAUCUUUCAAAUAUAGCAAAGAAAUAUGAGGCUUUUUAUCAAUAUUAUCUAUCAAAAUCAAGAUAAAAAAUAACAUAUCUUUGCUAUAAAAGAAACAAGAUCCAAGGAAGAUAACAUUCUACUUUCUACUCUCAUUUGUAGCUUUUGUAUAUUUGUGAUGCUAAAGAGCUAAAAAAUCAAUAACCAACAAAUUUAAUUCAAGAGCUAUUGCUUGCUAACUUAUUAAAUGAGAUAUUAUGAUUUUCUUAACCUUUAAGACAAUGUAAUUGAGAUGAAGAUCCUCAAGAUCAGCAUGUCCUUCCUUGAAUAAAUGGCAAGUUAUAAUGUAUUUGGUAUCACAACUUUCGAAGAGACUCUCAAUUUUUGGUGAUUUUAUUAAAAGUAUGAACAAUUCUUGAUAGUAUUAUAAAUAUUUUAUUUGAAAGGAGUUAUUAAGGUGUCAGCAAUGAUCAAAUAAUAAAGUGGUCUUCUUGUCCUAGUAUUAGAUACUAUCAAUGGUUGAAAAGACCUAUGAAUCAUCUUCAAAGAGAACAAAAAUCAAAGUAUGUAGCAAACAUAAUUUGCCGCAUCUUAGAUUUUUUUUAAUAUAUGAUGACCGUUCUUCAUAGAAUUCAUCUCUAGAAGGAGAGAUAAUAUCAUAAACAUACAUAUUUAUUCUAAUAAUUACCUAUAUAAAUAAGUAGAACUAGGUAGAAGUAGAUUUAUUUCAUAAUAUCUUUUAAAAAAGCUUCCUAAAAGCUUCAUAGGUAUACUUUGAUUUUACAUGUAUUUGUAAUUAAUUCACAAGUUAAAAACUUGAUCAAUAAGAUAGUCGCAUGUUAUACGUAUUAGUAGCUUAUGGAAUAAGCUAACUAUGUGGCACACAUAUAAAAAACUUGCUUUGUAAGUUAAGACAUGUGUUUAGUAAAGUCAAUACAUAUUAGAGGUCUUAUAGAACAUUGCCAUAUAGCUCUUAAUUAAAUAGUAUAUAUAGUAGUAAGAGUGAAGCCUUCUUCACUCUUGUCAACAUCUUUCUAGUCUUUAGUCUUAUUUCAAGACUUUCUAAUCUACUUUUCUUUGGCAAUAGCCAUUCUAGUUCAAUAUAUUACUAUCUUUGAGUGAUUGUUUAGUCUUUUUGAGUGAUAUAAGAAUGUAUUAUCUUUUUGCUUCUUUGAAAUUCAUGUUCUUUAUAUCAACAUGCAUACUCGCAAUAUAAAAGUUUUUUUUUUAAGUAGUCUUCUUUUUUUCCAAUUUAGACCACUUCUCUUAAAGCAACUCCUAUCUGAAAGAGAGCCAAAUAAAAAUAGUAUUUUAACUUUGGAAAUCAUAUCCAAAAUGAUAUGGAAAUUCCAUGAGACAUGUGAGAGAUAAAUUAUAGUUUUUAGGAAUGUAUAUAUAUUAAAUAUGUGCCAAAAAUGAAUAGACUCUGUUGUAGGGCCUCUUAUGCUCCUUCUUCUUAGAUGAAAGUUAAUACAAAAUAACCUCUUUUAAGUAUUUGGAUUUUAGAAAUAGUCAUGUUGAAUUCCAUUAGAUUUACAUUCAUACAUUCUUAUAACUCAAUGCAAGGAGGAUGCUUGUUUGGAGCAAAUUUAAUCAAUGUCAAAUGAGGAAGGAAAGUAGCAUCUUGUUCUAUCAGUGCUAAGGUAUUAACAAAUAGGUUUUAACAUAGCUUAGGAUCAAUCAAAAAAAAUAAGGCGUGUACAAUCUUAGAUGCGAUAGUCUAAGAUAAUGACUAUGAUGGUAUUAAAGUAUCUUCCAUUAGGAGCAUCUCAUCCUAAACAACAAUCUAAUCUAAUCUAGUAAGACAUGAUAUAAUAGAGUAAACUAAUGAACAAAAAAUAAUUAGGUUUGAAUAGAAAUUUUAUGCAAAGCAAUUUGUUUUCAGUGUGAUUCAUAUUUUUGGGCUUUUAUAUGCAUCCUUUGCAUGCUUCAUGAUUCUUUGCAUGAUUAUGUUAAGAUAUUCCCCCAAGCAUCCAUCAUCUUAUUUGUACUUCUUUCACUUUAACCAAGAAAUGAAUAGUAUCAAAGCACAAAUCCAACUUUUCAUGUUAUGAAUGGUUUCAUCAAAAUUAUAUUUUUUGGUUGUAAACCUUUGAAAACUAUUAUUGGAUACUACAUGAGCACUUUGGUGGGACUUGAAAGAAAAUCAUUUUUAUUAAUUAAACAUGCACAAAGAUCACACUAAUAACAUGAUGGAUUGAUUUAGCAAAAAGGUGGGUUGAUUUAACAAUUCCAUGUGUGUGUGUGUGUAUAUAUAUAUAUAUAUAUAUAUGUGUGUGUGUGUGUAUGUGUGUGUAUUAACUAGAAGAAACCCAUUUUGCAAGCUAAAUGAUUGAUACAAAAAAAUAUUGAUCAUUAAUGGGAGUUUAAAAUAAAAAAAACAUUAAACUUUGCAAGAUAUAAUUAAUACUGUAUUCUUACAUUUUUAAUGCAUUUAAAUAGAAAAAUUGUAUAAUCAGCUUAUGAAAAAAUUGGCUAUUUAAUGGAGGAAUUUUACAAAAACAUGUGAAUAUAAUGUCUCAAUUGUAAUGAUAAUAACAUUUCAAUAACAUUAUAACUACUGUUUGAUAAAAAAUAAAUAAAAGAUUCUACUGUGAAACAUGUUGCAAAUUUCACAUCUUUCUACACAAAUGAAAUCACCUAUAUAGAAGUGUUGAUGUGUUCAUAUUACACAGAUUCACACAUAUAAAUGUAAAGAAUUUAAUGUAAAUUUUGUGGGGACAAAGUGGUUAGCUGAUUUUAUACCUCAGCCAAUCACUGGACAGACACUUUUCUUUUUUUCUUUUUUUUCUUUUUUUUGAAUAUAAGUAGAUAUAUACUACUUUUAAUAUCUGAAUCCAGUUUUCCUCAGAUUUUUGUCUCUCAAAGAGACAGUUCAUUCAAUCAAGAAUGCAUUUCAAAUUCAGUUUGGUUUGAUUUAAUUAAUUAAUUUAGUUAUUUAUUUAUUUAUUCUUUUUCUUCUUCUUUUCUUUUCCAUUUUGCUGGCUAUGAUUGGCAAUGUACUAGUGAGUGGAAGAAGUGCUAGCUAUCCCACAUUGGACCUACAAAGGGAAGGGAAAAAGAAGCAUGUGAAAGAGUGUAGGAAAGGCUUCCUUAUUUGAGUCAUCUCCUCUCUUCUCUUUUCUUUUAAUACUGCUUGCUACUUCUUUUUCUUAACAUCUUAGGGGGAUUUCUUUCUUUAUUUAUUUAUUUAUUUAAAUUGUAUGUAGUAAUGCCCUCCUUUCACCUUCACCAACUGGCACUGCAAAGUCUCUUUCUACUCACAGGUCAAGGAAAAAGACCAACGCUUUGGGGGCUAGCCUUUAAUGGGCCUUAUUAAAUAUGUGACUUCCAUAACUCUAGAUGUGAGGUGUGUGAUAGAGAACCCUAUUUUGUUGUACCAUCCAUCCCAUUACUGAUUUUCCAUUUCUUUCCCAUUCCUGCCAUUCUUUCCUCCUUUCUGUUCAUUUAUAAUUGUCUCAUUAUAUACUAGUAUUUAUUUAUUUAUUUAUAUAAGUGUGGGUGGUGGGGGUGCCACUUGAGCCCUCCUUUUCUUGCCAUCUUUUUCUGUGGGGCAUAGCAAGUGGGAUGCUUGGAUGUGAGAGAAUUUGAAUUUCUGUUAGGUGCAUGGGUGGGUGGGUAGACAGUUUGAUACAUGAAUGUCCAGUAGAGAGUGAUAUUGAGCAUGUACAUAAAUACACACAUAAUUCUAUAUAAAAACUUCCACCACUGUUCUUGUGGUUUUUUUAAUAUUAAUAAGUUGAAUUAGAGUAUAUAUAAGUAUUUGUGAUAUGGUCACUGACAUGGGGCACCAAGUAUCAUCAAAGGGAUUGGGGUUAAGGCUUCAUCAGUCUGAUGUAUAUAACAUGUAAAGUGACAGAUGAGGAGAAGAGAAAUAACAGAUAUAUAUAUAUAUAUAUAUAUACAUACAAAGGGAACAAAAAAAGGAAAAAGGAAAAAGUGGUUCCAUGCCACUGUUUGCUCCAUUUCCUACAUUGCACUUGCAUUUGGAUUCAAUGGAUACUCUCUCUGCCUAGACAUAUACAGACAGACAGUGGGGUAUACUCACUCACUCACUCCACACACACACAGUCAGCAGUUGUUCAUCACCUUCCUUUUCAACAACAACAACAACAACAAAAACCCCUUUUAUUUAUCAGUUUUUUGAUUUGAUUUUAUAUUUUACUCAUACUGCAAUCAGAGCUGAGCCUGCUGUGUAAAGCCAUGCUUCCCCCCACAAACCCAUCAUUUAACACAAUCCAACAGCACAUCAAAUGGGUUCAUGUCAACAGCAGCACUCCACUCAAUGACAGUACCUUGCAGACAUCACAUGUAUAUGCCAAUGCAGGUAGGGGCCAAAUGAUACACCCCUUGCUGCUGGGGAACAGUUCUCAGCCUCAUAGUCAACCACUGUUGUGGGGUUUAGGGCUUAUGGCUUCACCAAAAGCACAAGUUCAUGCACUUAGUCACAUUCUGUGCAUCAAAGAUUUUGGUGGAAAAUUCUACCUAAGGGUCACUCACUCACUAACUCCUCCUGCAGAGUCAGCAUAAUAAAGAGGAGGAAGAGGGGAAGUGCCACAGGCGUGCCCAAGCUGUGUUUGGAGAUAGCCGCUUCUUGCUGGUCAUUCCUACCCUUUAUUAUUCCCCUCUCCCUCUUCAAGUACAAUUUUUGUUUUGUCUCACCCAUGUGUGAUUGCACACCCUAUUCCAGCAGCUUAAGAGAGAAUCAAGCAGUUUCACGGGCUGAGAGAGAAAGAGACGCAGCACGUCAAUAUACCAUAAGCCACGAUCCUGUCAUUUUCUUAACCCUAAAAAAAGGUCUGAUAAUAAUCCACCCACUUAGUACCACGAUUGGUUCAAUAAGGGGGCCUGUCUGAACGAUUGGAGAGGUCUCCAGCAGUUCUGAAUAAGCAGUUGGCAGCAGUUUGAAUGCUGGAAAACCAGGCGGGCACCACAAAAGAAAAGAAAAGAAAAGAAAAAAAAAGCCAGAAACCCACAUGCUUCAAUGUUCCUACUGAACGCCUGCCAUAAUACUCCGUGAAGUCACAGCUUUCGUUUCGAUUACGGGACUAUAAUUACAACUUAACUUGCAUGUUCUGCGACAUAUCGAUAAGUCCUGCACGAAGCUGCUCGAAGUGGCUAGUAUUCACAAAGGCUAGGGUACUUGAGGCCGAUUCCAAGCGUCCAAGCUAAGCCCCGAGGGUUUUGCACGAGAGCCACAUGUUCGAAAAAUAUUCUAGAACAGAGAUUCACAAGCAAAGCCUCGGGAGACUUGGCCACAACCCUCUGCGGAUUUCGAGACAGAUACAUUAUCUACUCCUAAAACAAGGAUGCAGUACCGUCCCAAACACAGUUGAAACAAAGUGCUUUCCAAAACUAUUUCCAACACUAACUGGGAGCAUCUAACAAACCCCUUUUCUGCAGAGAUCUGCAAGUAGGACAAUACCACUUGCCCUUAAACCGAGUCUCUGAACUCAAUCCUACGCAUUGGUAGUGAAACCAUUCUCCACCUUCACACUGCAACAUUUCCAAAUAACUCGAGUUACUAUUGCACUGCUUGCAGUAUUAAAAAAAUUCAUCGUCAUCAUCAUCAUCAUCCUUAAACUGAAAAUACUGAAGGAAAUGUUCAACGUUAUACCAUUGAAACAAGGAGAAACUCAAACGGCAGAUUGAGUAAGAAAAAGUACUGCACUUUCGACAAUCAAUCAGGAUUAACAUACACUUACCUUCUCAUUGUCACACGCAAUCAUAUCUCCAAAUGACACCUGUAAGACAUGAUAGCUCAUUAGUGCACCUUUGGAAAUUACUCAACGAUGUAGUCCUCAGCAUGCAGAAGUGCCAAGUAUUUACACCUCUGCUAUUUCAGCUCUAGCUUACAAGGAUGUCAUGGAACGAGCUGGACAAAUGUAAACCUCAGCUUAUCAUUCAAAUACAAUUCAGUCUAAACCAUGGAUGACCAUGUACUGAAGCUUGAAGAAUGUCAAACAGACACAUAUAACUCCACUAAACAAACCGAGGCGAGCACUCGAAAGAAGUCUCCACAAAAAAUAAUCAUUGUAGGCAGUAAUCCCUAUGGUACAGACCUGAUGACAAAUGCAGUAGGUGGGUUCGUUGGGAUCAAUGGGCUGAUCCACAUCCGUUGGAGCAGGAAGGCUCUUCUUGUGACUACCAGGCGGUGGCAUCAACUCACUAUCCCUAUCGCGAUCUCUCUCUCUUUCCCGAGCACUUUCAAGUCCUCUGUCCCUAUCCAGUCGUGAAUCCAGGCGCUUACCAAUGGGCGUGAGAAACUGCACCUUUCUUUUCUCAUCCUUGAACGUCAAAGGUGAAAUAUAGGUCUCAUCAUUCAAAACUUUUCCUUCUGUAUUCAAUGACGGUGAAAACAUUUAGCGAAUGAUGUCCAGAAACAGAUCAUAGCUCGUAGAGCAACACUACCUCCAUUUCGAACAUAAAGUCAGUUUUCAAAAGUGCCAUUACAAAUUCAUGUCUGAAAUGAUGAAGAGAUGGAGGAACAAGGCACAUGCCAACCAGGAAAGAAUAUCCGAUGGCUCAUCGUAUGCAAGAUGCAAGUAUAUACUAAAAAAGGAAAAACUAUCACUACCUUGCUUCAAGUCUUCUGCAAAGCUGCUAAGGUCCUCAUCAAGACGCUUCAUGUGAGUUUCAAUCUACCGUGUCAAAGAGCAUGCCAGUAAGACGAUGGACAGACCACAAGUGCGACAGCAAACAUACACCACCGGAGUAAACACGUCAGAUCUUUCCUUAGAAGCUUCACUAGUCAUAGAGCAUUGCCACAAAUUACCUCACAUUAAUUUUAUAUUGUUACUUAUUGAUGUAUUUAUUUAUUUUGAAGGAACAUGAAGGCAAACCUGGCACUCCGACUAUCGCAAAGGAUAAACUCAUUACGAAUACAAAUUUUGAAUCUCCGUUUUUUCACUGGAUAACAACCUUGGCAGCCAUUACCCUCGUGCACAUUGAGCUCAACAACUAAGCUACCAAUCUGUACAAUCUGUUUCUUACCAUUCAUGUUUGGAAUCAAUAACGUGAUUAGUGUACUCACUAAACGAAAUAGCAGGAAAUAUGUUACGAACAUUGGGAGAUUGAAAUGGAAAGAAACAUUAAGGCUCUGAACGAAUUACCAAUCAAGAGAAUACUUCGAUUGAAAGCAAGCAGUUUAUACAAGCAACAGACCAAUGUAGAACCAAGGCAGCAGUACUCAGAAACCUGCUGGCUGUAGCUAAUACAUACAACUUCCAUAGAAGAUGUUGCAAUUACCAGAUCAUAGGCUUGCUGUGCAAGCAGCACUUUUUCGGUGCAAAGCUUCAGAGUAUUUGUUUGGUUAGAUUCAAUCUGCUGCCUUUGUAUGUCCAAUGAGGAAUCUGCAUCAAGGCCAUCUCUCUUCUUUGCUAAACAUGCUCUGACUUGCUCCCGUGUUUGCAUGAUCAUAUCUGCACAAGUCCAAUAUUGUAAAUUCAAAAGUCUAGAACUUGACGGUCCAAAAACAAAAUGUUUUAAAGAAAAGAAAAGACAUGUGUUUUCAGUCUCAUCUCCGAGCAAAUUAGAUGUCACGAUUCCCAACUCUGUACAAUUGGACAACACGGAUCACCCUGAUAUGCAUGCGAGAUACCAAAGUCGAGCAAAUGGGGUGGUGGAAAUCCGUUAAAGAAUUAGAGCAGAUUUGAAUAAGAAUUUUUUUCAGCAAAACCCUAACAAAUGAACCAUUCGAAGACCAGCAGUAUCUUCAUAAAACUCCACACACGCUCAAUCGAAAAUUUCACAUAAUAGACUGAAUUAUAUGAUGAGUACAAAAUUGUUGCAAUGCACUACAAGUGAAAUACUUAACAGUCCCAUGAUCAAUUCGGAAUAUGUAAAUAGCAACAUUCCCAACACAAAUCCAUGAACUCGCAGGAGAGAGGAGAGAAACAGAAAACGCACUCUGAGACCGAUCAUCCAGCUCCCGCAUCGUGGAUAGGAGCCUCUGCAAUUCCGCAGGAAGUGAACUGCAAACUACCUCCACCCCAAAAGCAAACCAACGUGAUCAAUUCGCUUCGCAAUUCCAUUAACCCUAAGAAUCCUAACAACCCAACAAAACAACGUUCCCUCUCAUACGUAGUCUAAAUCAGUCUCCACACUCAUAUAACCACUUCAAUGAACGGCAUAGCCAUCUACAACAACUGUUGCACACGGAAUUUCGACACCGCGAGAAGAAAUUGCUCACAUUCAAGGUAAUCAUCGACAUAGACGCCGGUUCUCGUCAUGAUUCCCAGUGACGCAGCGAUUGAAACCCCACCACCAGUGCAUGCGUGAUGGAAUUACAGCUCAAGCGAUGAACAUUACGGAGAUUAGGGAGUAGUGUGGCGAUGAGAAUCGAUCACGCAGCAGCUGGAGGAUGGAUCCAUGCAGCACAGCACAGAUCCACGAGCCCCCUCCCUCCCUCCCUCCCUCCUUUCACCGCCGCAGCGUCAUCCGCCUUGCCGCUGGUCGAGACUGGGCCAGUCUCGCCGCUAACGCUGCCGCAAGCGGUGACGCAAUCCUGAAAAAGGUCUUUUGUGCCCAGAAAAACGUGUGAACUGUUGCAAUGUAUUCACCAUCUGUAUGCAGAGAAUUGAGUGGUGAAAACUGUGGUAAUGCGUAGAGCUAUGAAUGCAUGGUUGGUGAAUAUGUCAAAGAGGGUUGGCAUCUUUGCAGUACACACAAGAAAAAGCUUAUAUAAUGAUUUGUAGUAGAUUAGAAGAUAAAGGAUAUGUUUCUGACAUUGGUGCUUAGGAGCAUUUUUUACUUAGGGGAUAAGGUGAAAGGUUCUAACUUUCAAAAGUUUUGAUUGGUUUAAAUCAAUAAGUCUCCUUAAGUUGGCUUUAUACUAAGGAAAAUAAGUUCAAAAGUCUUAAGAGAAAAAAAAAAUGAGGUAGAAUGCGUUUUUUUCCUACAUAGCAUAAAUGGUAUUGUUCUUUGGAAUUUUUGUCAGGUGAAUUUAAUUUUUUUUUAGAAGUAGUGACAACAAAUGCUUAAAAUAACCAAUAUAAAAAUAAAAUAAAAUAAAAUAGAGUCUUUAUACUUGUAAUUUUUUGAAUCAAUAUAUGAAUUGACAUAUUUUAACUUUUAAUAAAAAGAAUGAUUUUAUUUAUUUCAUGGCAUCUUAUCACUUUAUAUACAAUAGCCAAGGCUAAGGCUUCCAAAUAAAGACUUUUAUUCUCUAUAUAUAAGGAACCUUUGCAAAGCUAUGAAUUUAUGGCCUUUUAAAGCAGGCUCUUAGAUAUAAAGUGCCCCUUAAUAUAAGAAAGAAUAGAUAAAUGAGAACCAUCAAUUGAGUAGAUCUUCUCAAAAAUUUUGAUGGAUGAUUAUUUUAAGUAACUAUUUUUUAUGAAUAUUUCGAAUGUAAGUCAAAGAUAAAAAUAAAAUAAUUUUUUUUUACAAAUAAAUGUAUUAAUUUGAUUAAAUUUACUUAUUCAUAAUUUUUAGAAAAAAACAUAAAAAUUCUAAAAAAUUGUGACAUUUUCACAACAAUCUUAUUGAAAGUCUAUAAGGUUUCUUUACUAAGAAGAAUAACAUUUAUUUCAAAUUUCUUCAUUUUGUGAUAAUUUGCAUUAAAUAUUUAAUAAAAAUUUAAUUAUAUAACUAAAAAUGAUAUUAUUUUUAAUUUUUUUUUUAAAUUUGAAGAUUAAAUAAUAUAUUAAAUAAUAUAUAUAUAUAUAUAUAUGUAAAGAUAAAAAAUUUUAAAAAAUAAAAAAACAAUUAAUUUGGAAGUGUAUGAAGAAUAUGAAUUUAAACAAACUUAUAAGAAAAAAAGAAAUUCAAAUCUAAUGAAGAAGAAAUAAAGAAGACCAAAAAAGAAUAUAUCUACAUAAUAAGCAUGUAUUAAAAUAAAUAAUUUUAAGUAUAAAAGACCAUAAAAUCUUAUAUUAAGACUAAAAUAUAAAAAAUUAUCUAAAAGUUUUUAAAGAAUCAAUACACUCAUGUGUCAUAAGAAAAGAAUAGAUAAUUACUCAAAAAAGAUACAAUAUUAAGAUUAAAAUAGCUAUUACCAAAGAUAAAAAGAUUAGAGACUCUUAAAGUAAGAAUAAUAAUAAGAAAGGUAUUGAUAAGAAUAAAAAAGGCUUCACUUUUUUCUCCAAAUAUACUACCUAACUAAAAACUAUGUAGUGAUGUUUUAUAGGACUUCAAAUACAUGUCCAAUUUAAGAAACAAAUAUCUAACUUGCAAUACAAAUUUCUUAUAUGUGUGCCACAUGGCCAACUUAUAUCAUAAGUCACCAACAUAUAUGACAUAUGGCCAAUUUAUUGGCCAUGUUUUCAACCUAUUAAUUACUAAUAAAUAUAUAAAAAUAAAAUUCAUGUUUAUAAAGCUUCUAAUUUUUUAAAUAAGAUAUUAUCAAAUUUAUUUAUUCCUAUUUACUUCUAUCUAUUUAUUCUAAUCUAAGAAAAUAUGUAAGUUUUUGAUAUUAUCCUCUCUUUUAGGCAUAAGUUUUAGAAGGAUCAAUGAUCACAUCUUGAAGAAGUUUAAGAUGUGAUAAAUUAUAUUUGCCACAUGAUUUAAUCUUUAUUUCUUCCAAAGGUAAUUCAUAGGUCAUCCUAGCCAUCAAUAUUGUAUCUUAUUAGGGUAGAAAGAUCACCCUAUUAUUUAAUCAUUCUUGAGGUUUUUAUAACUUUUUUCAAAUAAAAUAUUUGAUAUAUUAUUGGAGAUGAUUUCUACUUCUAAUAAAAUCAUUAAAUAUCAAAAGUUUCUUCCAAGGUCGUAAUAUCAAACAUAUUGUAUCUUACCAUCCAUUUAAAAAUUAACAUAUCAUUCUUAAAAGUCUUCAUUGCUAUUAUGUUGACUUGAAAGCUAUAACAAUCUCAAUGAUUUGUUUGAUAAUUUAGUAAAUAAUAGCUCUUGACUUGAAUCUAUUAGUUUUUUAAAUUUUUGAUCUCUUUAGUGCCACAAAUAUACAAAAAUCACAAAUAAGAAUAAGAAAUAGAAUGUAAUAUUUAUCAAAUCUUGUUUCUUUAUAGCAAAGAAUUGCUUAACUCUUUAUUUUCAUUUUAAUAGAUGUUGUGAAAAAAAAGCAUCAAUCUUUUUUGCUGCAUUUGUAAGAUUCUUAGUUGGCUUUUAUGUGUAUUUAUUAAUAUAAUAUCUCCACUGAUAUAUAAAAUAUUUCAACUUAUUUUAGUAUUUUCAUGAGUCUAAAACUUCUUUGACUUAAAACUCUUGGUUAUUAUCUAUUUCUAAAUAUAAAAUAUCAAUUUGCAUAAGUUUUGGCCUUGUUGAAUAUAUUUUAAAAAACUAAAGAAUUAUUGUCAUAACUUAACUUUUUUUCCAUCCAAAUAUUUGUUAUUGGCAUCUUUCAAAAAAUUGAUUAUUAUAUGAAAUUACUUGAGCAAUAAAUUGUUUGAAUUAAUUUUCUUUGGAUAUUAUCAACUAUAAAUCUUUGACAUUGUUUUUUAAUCCAUAUUGAAAUUUAUUGAUAAAGACUUUAUCAUUGUAAUAUACAUUAUAAGCAAGGGUUUGGAAUUUGGAAGCAUAUAUGGUAGUUGAUUGUGAUUAUUAUUGUAAAGACAAUGUUUAGACUUUUCUAUAGUUUUUUAAUUAUUUUUUAAAAAAUAUGACUGUAAAUAGUUUUUUAUAAAUAAAUUAAGAUUAUAAAAGAAUUGUGAAUAUUUUUCCAUCAAAAGUAUAAACCAAACAAUAACACUUUAUGAUAGAAUUGCUUUUAUAAAUCCAACUUGAAUAAAUCCAUUAAAAUAUUAUAAAAGUUACAACCUUCAAUAUAGCUUAAAUUAUUGUAGAAAUCUUCAAAAUUUAAUCUUAUUUCCAUGAAACUUCUCUAGCAUACCAAUUUUUAUAUCUCUAAUAUUUAUAGUAAUGAGGCUCUAUUAGAUUUAAUUGUGAGGUUGAUCUACUUUCUUCUUUGCACUCUACAAUUUCUUAGCAUAGACAUUAAAUUUAUUUAUUGACUUCUUUGACAUGUGUAUGAAUAGUACAUCCAUAGUUGACAUUAGAAAUACGUGAAAUUUCUACUCUAUGAAUAUAGAUAAGCUUAACUAGAUUUAUAAUAGUUGCAUACAUAUUAUCACUUCUGUCAAAUGUAGUAUCUAUAAUUUUUUUUAUAUUUUUAUAACAAAAAAUUUAAACAAUUAUAUAAGUCAAGUUAAAGUAAGGUAAUCUAUAAUAUUUAAUAUCACAUAAAAAUUUCUAUAAAAAAAUAGCUUAUUCUCUUUAUAGAAAAAAUCAAUGUUAAAACAAAAAAAAUAUUAGUUACCAAAUAAAUAGUGUGCAAUCCAUAAAAGAAAAAAAAUGGGAUAAUAUAAUUAUUUCUAAAAUUAAAUAAAUUAAUAAAUUAUUAUUCUUGAUAAAUUAUCAAAGAUAUGAAUCACAAAGAAUCAAAGAAUAAAUACAUUCUUAUAUUACAAGAAAAGAAUAGAUAAUCACUCAAAGAUAGUAUAAUAUUGAAAUUAAAAUGACUAUUGCCAAAGACAAGAAGUCUAAAGACUUUUGAAACAAGAAUAAGAAUAAGAAAAAAAGAGAAGGAUUCUUUCUUAUCUAUAUAUAUACUAUUUAAUUAAAAAUUAUAUUUUUGUAUUGUAAAAAAACUAUAUAAUAAAAGAUAAAAAUAAAAAGUAUUAUUUUUAAAAGGCCUAAUUAAAAAAAUAUAAUAGAAAAUGUAAGAUCAAUCAAAAAAUUAGAUUAAAAGAUAUUCAAAUUUGAUUGGAUCAAUGUUUUGAAUAUUUAAUUUUAUGAUCAAUGAUAGUUUUUGUGAUCUUGCAGAUUUGAUUCAAAUAAACUUUUAUUAGAAUGUAAGAAUUUAAAAAAAAAAAAUCAAUUUAGAAAGAAAUUGAAUAAUUCAAUAACGAAUAAUUGAUACUAAAAGAUUGACAUUAAGGUUGAAGAAGAAAGGCAACCAAAACUUCAAAUAAUUAGAGUUUUUUUUUUUUUUUUUUUUUCUUUUCUAAUUGAUAAAUUCAAUUCUUUUCAAUUUUUUUGUAUUUUCUAUUUGCUUAAAGAUUGAAAUGCGUAAUUUUUUAAGUUAAGAUCAAGAAUUUAAUUAAUUAUUAUUAAAAUUUAAAAAUUACUAUAAAAUUUUAAUUAUGAUUUAUUUAUGAUUUUAUGAAGAUUUAAUUAGGAUUUAUUUAGAAUUAAAUUAAAAUAUUUUUUCUUUCUUUCUUUUUUCUUUUCUUUUCUUUUCUUUUCUUUUGAAUGUGUAUAUUUCUUUGAUUUUCUAUAGCCUAUUAGAACCUUCUAGGAUUUCUUAUGACCUUCUAAAACUUUCUUAGAAUCUAUUAGAAUCUUUUAGAAUCUUUUAGGAUCUAUAAGAACCUUUAAAAACCUCCUAGAACCUUCUCAAAUCUUCUUUAGUUGUAUGUCCGUGACAAGAACAUCUAGUAAAGGUAUUAUUUUUUCUUUAGAUCUUUCACCUUGUUUGACUAUAGAAGUUUUUUUAGGACCAAAAAAUCAAAAAAUCUUAGUUUUAUUAGAUUAAAGAGCCUCAACUUGAUUUAUAGAUAAAGACUUUAUUAAAAAAUAAGAAAUAACUUUAAUUAAGAAAUCCAAACUUGUGCAUGUAGAAAUAAUAGAUGUUUGUUUGUUAUCUUUUAGAGAUGUUAUAUAUGAAUCUGUUUCUUUAGAUAUAGCAACUAAUAAUCAUAAUAAUUUAAUAAUAUUUAAUCUAAUUAGAUCUUCUUUAAAUUUAAUUAUUUUAGGAUUAUUAUCACUACAAAAAGUAUAACCUCUUAAUAGAUUAGAUUUCUCAUAACCUUGAUUUUUUCCAUAGUUUAAACUAAGAUUCUAAUGAGUAAGUAGAAAUCCAUAAGAUCAAUAUAUUCAAACCAUUAUUUGUAGGAACAAGGGCUUUCAUGCAUGUUUUACAAUAAGGAUCAAUUUUUUCUAUAUCAUUUUAAUAAUAAUUGAUGGUAUACUUCAAAUAUUGCUCCAAAACUUGAUUCAUCUAUUCUAUUUGUCCAUCAAUUUGAGGAUGAAAAGACAAAAAGAGCUUAAUUUUUAUCUUUAGAAUCUUGAAAAAGAUUCUCCAAAAUCUUGAUAAAAAUUGAGUCUUUGUAUCUGAUAUAAUAUCUUUAGGCAAUCCAUAAUAGUGAUAGAUAUUGUUAAAAAAAACCAAGCUAUUUUUUUUUACUUGGGAUAGAUAAAUCUAACGUGUAAAUAGAGUUACAAUUUGAAUAAAAUUCAAUUGAAUAAUAUUCAAAAAAUAUUGCACAUGAAACAUGGCAUAUCACAAGUAUAGCUUCAAUUUUUUUUUUCAUUAAAAUUUGGUUAUAUUCUUCUAUUCUAUUUAUUUUUGUUUAAUGUUAUUUGAUUCUAUUUUCUUUUACUUAGUCCUAUCUUUCAUGUUCUACUCCUUUUAUUUAUUUUUAGUUUUCUUUUAAUGUGCUUAGUCUUAUGUUGUGUCAAGAUCUUUUUUGUUAUAUAUUUGAUAAUAUUUUAGAUCUUAGAAAAUUUAAUCUUAUUUCAUUGAUAUAGCUUCAGAUAUUUUUUUUUAGUAAAAUUUGGUUUUUUUUCUAUUCUAUUUGAUUUUUUUUGAUUUUUUUUGAUUUUAUUCUAUUUUACUUAGUCUUAUCUUUUAUAUUCUAUUCUAUUUAAUUACUUUUAAUUUUUUUAUAGUUUUCUUGCUCUCAUGAUAUAUUAAGAUCUUUGUUGUUAUAGAUUUGGUAAGAUUUUAGGCCUUUUGAAAAUCCGAUCUUAUUUCAAUACAUCUCUUAUUAUUCUUGGAAUCUUCUAAUUUAUGAUAGUCUAAACCUUCUUUAGAUCCAUCAUUAGUUGUUUGUUGGAAAUGAUGUAUCCUAGGAAGUUAACUUGAAUAGUAUGGAAUACACACUUUUCUAACUUGGUAUAUAAUCCUAUAUCUCUAAGUUUUUGUAAUACAUGAUAAACAUGAACUUCAUAUUUUUCUAUGUUCAUAGAAUAGAUUAAGAACUCAUCUAAAUAACAAAUGAUAAAAUUAUUAAGAAACUCACAAAACACAUCAUUAAUUAGAUAUUAAAAAAUAAUUGGUUCAUUGGUGAGUCCAAAAGGAAUGACAUUAUAUUCAAAAUGUCCAUACCUGGUUUAAAACAUAGUUUUUGAUUCAUCUCUUUUUUAAUGCAAACCAGAUUAUAUGCUCUUUAUAGAUCUAUUUUUGUAUUGAUCUAUGCUUAAUUGAAUUGAUUAAAAAGUCUUAAAAUCAAAAAUAAAAGAUAUCUAUUUUUGAUCAUAAUCUUAUUAAGUCCUCAAUAGUCUACACAUAUCCGUUGAAAUCCAUCUUUUUUCUUUGCAAAUAAGAUAGAAGCCUUGGUUAGAAAUUUAAAAUGGCAUAUGAAAUUCUUAGCUAAGUUUUCAUCAAUAUAUUCCUUGAGUGCAGCCAACUCAUUUUGUGAUAGGCUAUAGAUUGGUCCAAAUGGUGGUUGAACACCUUCUUGAAGAUUGAUGAAACAAUCAUAAAGACAAUGCUCUAAAAGAAUAUUUAUAUUUUUUUUUUCAAAAAUAUCUUAAAAAUCUUAAUAUUAGCUAGAAAUACUACUUGAUAUCUUUCCACUAUCAAAAAUAGGUAUGGCAUAUAUAGCAAAAGAUGACCCUUCUUUUAUGGCAUACAUGAAAGCUCUUGCACCUAUAAGUAAGGAUUUAGAUAUAUUAGACUUAUGUAUUUUUACUUAACUAAUAGAAUUUUGGAUUAAACUAUCAAAAAAAUUAAGGUUAUUAGAAAUCCAAUCUAUUUGAGGAUUAUAUUUUUUUAAUCAAGCUAAUUCUAAAAUAAUUAGAUUGAAUAGAGAACUUAUUAUAUUAAAUAUUAUUGUGCUAUUAUAAUCUUUAAUUACUACAUCUAAAGGAACAGUUUCAUACAUAACAUCUCUAAAAGAUAGCAAACGACUAUCUAUAACUUCUACAUAUAUGGGCUUAGUUUUCUUGACUAAAAAUAUUUUUUAUUUUUUAAUAAAUCUUUCUUAUAAAACAGGCUAAGGCUCUUAAAUCUAAUAAAGCUAAGACUUUGUGAUUUUUUGGUCUUAAAUAAGCUUCUAUUAUAAAAUAAGGUGAGAGAUUUGAUGAAAGAAUAAGACUUUUAUUAGAAGUUAUGCAAGAUUUUAGCUACAUGGUUCCUAUUAUAGCUAGAGAAACUCGUUUUUUGAUACAUUGUCUUCUUUAGCAACCAUGCUUCUCAUUUUUUGGUUACAUUGUUUCUUUGGAUAAUAUUGAACAUUGUGUUUAGCUUCUCCAUAAUAUAAGUAUAAGCCUUCUUAAUGUUAUCAAGUCUUUUCUUGCUUUGUAAAGAAUUUAAAACAUAUCAUAUCAAUUUGUAUUGAUUUUAAUCUUAAUAAAUAAGUUUCUAAAAACUUAGGAAUUGUCGUCAUUAUUUGACUUGUUUUUCUUCAACCAAGUCUUUAUUUUUGACAUCUUUCAAAUAAACAAUUUUCACAUGUAAUGGCUUGAGCAAUAAAUUUUUUUAAAGUUCUUGCCUUUAACAUUAUCAAUAAGAAAUAUUUGACAUUAUCCUUCAAUCCAUAUCAAAAUUGAUUGAUAAGGACUUUGUCAUUCCACUCCAUGUUGCAAUCAGGGUUUUAAAAUUCAGCAACAUAUAUGGUGGUUGACUAUAAGCUUUGCUAUAAAGAUAAAAGCUUAGUCUUUGCUAUUAUUUCUUGAUCACUUUCUCCAAAUAUGGUCAUAAAAACUUCUAAGAAUAUAUUCAAAUCAUAAAAAAGUCAGAAAUUCUUUUCUAUUAAAAGUACAAACUUAAAGAGAACACUUUUUGAUAGAAGUGUGUAUAUAAAUCCAACUUGAGUAAAUCCAUAAAAGUAUUGGAAGGGAUGCAACCUUACAUAGAACUUGAUUUGUUGCAAAAAUCUUCAAAAUUUUGAUCUUGUUCCAUCAAACUUCCGAAGUAUAUUAAUCUUUAUCCAUGUUAUAUUUAUAGAAGUAAAACUCCUUGAAUUUGGUUGUGAGGUCAAGCUACUUAUUUCUUUUAACUCCAUAAUUUCUUAAUACAAAUUUUGAACUUCUUUUAUAGAUAUAGAAAUAAUACUUCUAUAAUUUACGUUAAAAAUACAUGAAAUUUCUACUCUUAGAGUAUUGGCAAGCUCAUGAAGAUUUGUAAUAGUUACAAAUCUAUUUUCACUUCGGCUAAGAAUAGCAUCCAUAAUUUUUUCUUCCAUAGAUAAGUCAAAUAAAUUUAAAAAUUUUAAUUAGACAAGGUUAAUCCACAACUUCUAAUAUCAAAUGAAAAUUUCUAUAAAGAGGGAUAAUGUACUUUCUUUUAAGAAAAGUUCAUCUUACAAAAUAAGAUUAUUUGUUUAAAGGUAGGUAGUUCGCAACCUCCAAAAUACAAUAAUAGAAGUGGGAUAAUUCACUCACUUCUAAAACAAGACAAAAAUAGUAAGUUAGUACUCUUGUUAAACUAUGAAGGAUAUGAAUGUCAAAGAAAGAAAUCUUCAAUACACUCUUGUGUCACUGAAAAGAAUCAGAAAGUUAUUCAAAAGAUGAUAUAGUAUUGAACUAGAAUGGCUAUUGCCAAAAACAAAAAAGACUAGAAACUCUUGAAAUUAGAGUAAGGACUAAAAAAAUAUUGAUAAGAGUGAAGAAGGCUUCAUUCUUGCCUCCAUAUAUAUUCUUAACUAAGAGCUAUGUGGCAAUGUUCUAUAAGCCCUUCAAAACAUGUUGACUUUGUAAGACAUGUAUUUUAACUUACAAGGCAAGUUUUUAUAUGCGUAUCACAUAAUUAGCUUAUUUUACAAGCUACCAACAUAUAGUUAGUUUAUUGACCAAGUUUCUAACCUAUCAAUCAACUACAAAUACAUGUAAAGUCAAAGCAACAUCUAUAAUACUUCUAAGAAGCUUCUCUAAAAAAUAUUAUGAAAUAAAUCUAUUUUUAAUUACUUCUACUUAAUCGUAUAGAUAAAAAUUAGGAUAAAUAUGUAUAUUCAUGAAAAGAAGUUAAGAAGGCCUCAAUAAUGAUUGAAUAAUUGGGUAAUUUUAUUUCCUAAGAAUAGAAUAUUAUUGGUGGUUGAAAAGACCUAUCAACUACUUUUAAAGGAAAUAACAAUUAGAAUAUGCGACAAAUAUAAUUUGCCAUAUCUUUGACUUCCUCAAUAUGUGAUCUUUAUUUUUUGUGAAAUUUUUCUUUAGAAAGAAGAAGAGAGGGAGGGAGGAAAGAAGUAAUGUCAUAGACAUACUUAUAAUUAUUUAGAUAAUAUGAAUAGGUAGAAGUAGAUAAUAUGAAUAGGUAGAAGUAGAUAAAAAUAGCUUAAUUUGAUAAUAUCUUAAAGAAGAGCUUCUUAAAAGCUUCAUAGACGUGAUUUCACCUUUAUACAUAUCUAUAGGUGAUUGAUAGGUUAAAAAAUUGGCCAAAAACUUAACUACAUGUCACACAUAUUAGUAGCUUGUGGUACAAGCUAACGAUAUAGCGCACAUAUAAAAAAAACUUGACUUGUAAGUUAAGACAUGUGUCUUGCAAAUUUAUAUGAUUUUAUGAAAGAAUCUAUAAUUAAUAGAUUAAUUACUUAAAUCAAAAAAAAUAUUUAUAAGAUAUUAGAAAAAAAUCCAAAAAUUCUUUAUAGAAUAAAUUAUUUAUGAAUUUUUAUUAUAUAUAUAUAUAUAUAUAUAUAUAUAUAUAUGAUUUUAUUUCUGGAUUUUAUUUAAAAAAUAUAAAAAAUUAUUUAAUUUUAUCUUAUAGAAUUAUUAUUGCUUAAUUUAAAAUUAAUAAUAAAUCCAACAUAACUUAUUUACUUCUUAUACAUCUAUUUAUUUGUAUUUAUAUGCAUACAUAAUAGUCAAAGGCUUAGACUACAAGCACACCUCAAGUUGCUAUAUACACAUCCAAGGUUUUUGAUUGACUCAUCCAAAUCUCUUUUUUCUUAUUCUUGUGCCAAGCCCAGUCUUCUUCUUUUUUUCUAUUCUUCUGGCACAUGUCUUGGCCCCUGUCCUUUUCUUUCUUGCCUUGACAUGGAUCUUGGUCCUCUUUGCCUUUUCUUUCUUAUUUUAAUAUGAAAUCAUUCAUGAAUUGAGUCUAGUGCCUUGCAUUAUAAUUAAUUGUAUACUCAAAUUGGGCCUAAUUUGCUUCUAUAAACUAUUAGAGUGAAAGAUAAGUGAAGUAUUGUCUAAUUAGGCACUAUUAAAUAUUUGAGCUUUAAAAGCAUAAUAAUUUAAAAUAAAUAGUUAUUUUAAAAAAUAUAAAUAUUACAUAAAAUUAAACAUGUGAAAAUUUCAAGAUAAGACAAGUAGAUCUAUUGAUUGAACUUAUAGUUGAAUCUCAAAAUAUUUAAUGAAUGACAAAAAAUAAUUUGGAAUUUAUUUAAUAAUUUGGCUAUAAGAUUUACUUAUACAAUUGUAUAAUGGAUUGAAAUUGGUGAUUCUUGAGAUUGGCCAAUUUGGUUCUUGCCAUCUAAGAAUGUACUAAUGUGUAAAUUUUAAAAACCUUCACUUGCAACUAUUUGUGCCUACAAUGAUGUUGAAUGGUCAGUAUUUGAGAGACUAGGAAUAGUUAUAGAUUUCCACCAUUCAUUUCAAUUGUGCUAUAAUAGAAAGAUGUAUUUGAGGUACUUCAUUCCAUACAUUGUGGAUUACAUGUCAUUUCAUAGUUUUCAAUGAAAUUAUUAUCCUAAGUAUUAUCUACAAAGUCCAAAUAAAAGAAUACAAAGUAGUCUCAAUAUUUUAGUUUUCUAACCUUUUGUAGAUUUGAAUAAUGGACCAUAACAUAAGACUAAGCCUAACAAGAAUUAAAAAUUUGUGAAUUUAACAAGCUUAGAUAUUGUGGAGGCAUAUUUAUUUUAAGACAUUCUACACUCUAAAAUCCUAGGUCAAAUGUUACUUUCUAUUGUCUUAAUACUAUUGACUUUAGUUUUGAUAUUGAUGAUUUUUUAUUUCACUUUUUAGGUUCAUCAAUUUAAAUGUUUUGAAUAGAAUAUUGUUUAGUUAUAGCACAUGUUUUAUGAAGCAAAGUUAGAGCAUAUUUUUGUAAUUUCUUAUAAAAAAAUCCAUCUUUCAAUUAUAACAAUAGGAAAUCUUCUAUGCUUUGACCAUCUUAGUCUUUUUUAUUACCUAGAGGAGAUUUUUGUAGCAUUGUCAUAAGGUGAUAUAUUCAUAUUAGAAUUUAUAUGCUUAGUGUAAAAAAGUCUACUUCUAAGCAUACAAAGAUUAGACUUUGAAGGUUUACAAACAAAAAUAUUUCUUAUAGUUAAGAAGAUCCAAGUGUCUUCAAUCAACAGUAGAGCUUGAUAGUAUAAAGUAAGAAAUAAAUAUUACAAAUUCAAUUAUCAAUGCUUAAACUAAUAAAUGAUGCCUCAUAAAAUAGGAAAAAUAUCAAUAUAUUAACUGUGUCCUAUGUACUUACUCAAAAAGUAGAUACUAGACAAGAUACAAACAAUUGGUAGCUUGUACAAAGUAGGUACGAGAUCUCUCUAAGAAUUCAAAAAAAUUCAGUAGCUCUUGUUUUCAAUCUACAACAAGAUAAUGUUCAUCCAGCUACAUUGAUUGUCACAAAUUCAAAUUAUUAAGUUCAAAUGAAAGUUCCAUAUAGAAACUUCUACUCAAUACUUCAAUUACUUAAUCAUUACAUAAAACAAAAAAUUGUGGAAAUCAUGCAAUGACUAGCGACCUUAGUGACCUUUUGCAAAUUAUAUUAUUUACGUCUUGCAAUAUUUUUUCCUAAUUAGUUAUUUUUAAAUAUAUGUUUCAUUCAAAAAACUUCUUGUAAAUGACUUCUUAUGAAUAAUCUUCCAAUAUGUUGCGGAAGUAGAAAAAGAAGAGGGUUGAGACUUCUACCUAUAAAAUAAAGAAAGGUGGUGAGACUUACAUUGAGGUAAGGAAGAGAAGGAGGGAAUUGGUAUCAUAUAAUAUAAAUUCUUCCUUGAGAGUGCAUGAGAUACCUUGUUGUGGAUAGUAAAUAGAAAAUCCGACAACAAGAUCCUAUCAAGUCUAAUAAAAUCUUGAUUAUUUCUAAAUACUCUUUAAUAAUUCUAAUCAAAUUUUAAUCAAUUUAAAAGAAAUUUAUAAAAAAUUAUAAAAGAAAAAUAAUUUUAAAAUUCUAAAAAUAUAUAAAAAAUAAUAAUCUAAAAGAAAUAUUAAAAUAAAAAUAAUAAAUAAAUUCUAAAUAAAUCCUAAUCAAAUCUUGAUAUAGUCUUAAUAAAAUCCUAAUUAAAUUUUAACAAAUACUUAAAUAAAUUUUAAUCAAAUAUUAAUCAAAUUUUAAUUAAAUCCUAAUCAAAUCCUAAAUAAAUCGUAGACCAAAUCCUAAUCAAAUCCAAACCAAAUUCUAAAUUUAAUCCUAGAGAAAAUCCUAAUAAAAUUAUAAUCAAAUUUUAAUCAAAUUUUAAUCAAAUUUUAAUCAAAUCCUAAUCAAAUUUUAAUCAAAUCUUAAUCAAAUUUUAGUCCAAAUUCUAAAUCUUAAAUUAAAUCAUAUUGAAAUCUUAAUCAAAUCCUAAAUGAAUCUUAAAUAAUCCAAAAAAAAUCCUAAAUAAAUCUUAAUCUCUUCUUAAAGCUAUUUGAAAAUCUCAAUAUAUAUUUAUUAAAUAAUUGUAAUUAAUAAAUAUAAAAAAUUUGAAGAGAAUCAAAUUAAAAAAUUUAAAAAAAAAAAAAAAAACUUUCAAAACCUCUUGGAUGUUGGCUACUAUCUUUCUCCAACUUAGAUGUUAAUCUUCCAAUAGCAUUUUUUCCUUGUUUAACCAUUAAAUUAUUUCAAAAAUUGACUAGUGUAUAGAUUUAUAAGCCUAAAUUUCUAUCAUUAAUUUAUACUUUAAUCAAAUUAGUGGAUGUUACAAGAUUUUAAAAAUCCUCAUUAAUCCUAAAUUUCAAUUUUCUAAAACUUUAACUCAAUAAAACUCUCAUGUCCUUUAAUCUAAUCUUUCUAUCAAUAUUAAUUUUUUAAACACAUUUAGAACAAGCAUAAUAAAAAAAGUUAAAAAUUUUCACUUGUAAAUGUAUUACAAUAUUAACAAAAUCCUCAAAUUUAUAAACCUCUUUUUAUUUCUCAAAAUCCAAAUCCAUUGAAUAAAUCUCUUACUUUGAAAAGCCUUCAAAACCUCAAUAUACCUUCAAUCAUAUGAAAUCAACUCUCUAAAAUCUUUUUAUAAUUUAGUUGUCAAAUUUUACUUUCUAAUCAACCAAAACAAUCCUAGAGUUACUAUAGGUUUGUACCUCGAGAUUUGAUUUCAACUUUGGUUCACAACUAGUCCUCUUUGAGAAUCAAUUUUUGGUAUUUUGAGGUAAUAUUUAUUAAAAAAUAUUCUUAAUUCCUUCAUAAAGAUGUCUAUAUUAAUUACUUAUCUCAUUUAUUUUUAUUUGGCUCAUUUAUGCUCCUAUAAAGUAAAUAGAAGUUUCUUCUAUAAUAAGGUAGUAUUAGCACUUAUUAAUUUUUACUACUUCCUUGUCUAUUAUCUAUAUUUUUAAGAUAAUUUGCUAAAAUAUUUUUAUUUAAGCUCUUCUAUGAUAAAUUAUUUCUUUUCUUCUUUCACUCAAUGGUUAUAUUACUACACAACAUCAAGACCCAUAUUAGGCAAAAGAAAAAAAGAGAGGAAUUAAGAUCUACAUAAAGAUAAGAGAAAAGAAAUCUAAUUAAGCAAAUUAGAAGCCUUGAGUGUAUAUAUAGCAACUUGAGGUAUGCUUGUAGCUUGAGCCAUAGUCAAAAUAUAAAUCACUUAGUAAUAUAUAUAUAUAUAUAUAUAUAUAUAUAUAUAUUUAAAAUCUUCAAGCUAUUAUUAAAAAAAUUAAAUAUAUAUUUUUAAAGUAAUAUUUUUAAAAUAAAAAAUAUAUUUGGCCUAUUAAUGCAUAGUUGCUAUUAUCUAUGGUUUGUUUUGGUAGAUUUUUUAAAAAAAUAUACUUAUUUUGACCUGAAAAUAUUUUAUUUAAUAUCUCAUAAAAUUAAAAAUUAGAUUUAUAAGCUAAAAAAUCACAUUUUAGAUUUAUAUUAGUAUUAAAAAUAUUUAAUAAGUAUGUAUUUUAUUUAUUAUAUUAAAUAUAUAUAGUGCAUUUAAAGAUUUAAUUUAAUAAUUAUAAAUAUAAUAUUCAUACAUUUAUAAAUUUAUGUAAUCUAUUAUUUAUGGAUAGUUAUUUUUAAAAUAUUUUUAAAAACUUAUUAAACAAACAGACAUCAUCGGCAAUCAAGAAAAUAAUUCACUAUUAUUUUAAAAGAUGUAUAUUUUAAAAACUAUGUACAAAAUAUUUCACCAAAGAUUUUAAUGUUUUAUUCUAUUUUAAUUUCUAAAUCUUACAAAAUUAAAUUUAAAUGUCAUUUAAAUGUAAUUAGAGGCACAUUUAAUAGAAUAAACAUCUUUAAGUGAACUUCUUUUUAUUUACUUCAAAAACAUCUUACAAAAACGUAUUUUCUAGCCAUAAGAAUUCCAUAUGAAAAGCAUGAGAUCUCAAAUUCAAUCCGAUGAGAGCUUUAUUCAAAGUGCUUUUAGUCCAAUAAUCAACUAAAGGACUUAAUAUUUCCUUGGAAAUUUAUCUCUAUCUUGAGAUACUUAGGAAGACCAAUUAAAGGCCUCCAAUUCCAUUCUACUAUCUCAAUAAUUAUAUCAGAUUUGACUCAGAGUAGAAAUUUUUCAGAAGAUUGCAACUGCUUGAAUCAAAUGCAUGGCACUCACCACUCAUUUGUUAGUAUCCAAUGUAAGUGGAACAAAUAUAUUUAGAAAGUAAUGCAAAACUAAAGAAACGGUCAGAAAGAAAGACAACAAGUCAAAACAGGAGAUAUCUUGUGUUUAUCAAAAUCCUUCAUAUACACGUGCUUAACAGCUUGCCUGUGCUACAUUGGGUAAGGCGGUAACCCCAUAAGAUCAAGUAUUGAAAAAUAUACUAUCCAACUUUUCUUAACCAGUGUACCAUUUCACCUUUACAUCUGCAACUCAGUUGAGGAAGAAGCUGAGAACAUUAUCCGAGAUGGCUCCGACCGAUGAUAGAUGUGCAUAUCUAGCUCACCGCUGAUUUUCACCUAUCAUUUGUCAUGCUUAUGGAGUGGUCAAAUUUGAGGGCCGUGUGCAGGCAGAGUCCAGCAGCUUGAAACCUUCCAAUCCAAAACAUACUGCAAAACCUCAACCGUUAAAGACAUGUCAGACUCCCAGCUAAACACAAAUUAAUAAUCAUUCCUGACGAUCACCAGAUUUAUACGUCUGACAAAGAUCUUCAAAAAGAGGAUCCCAGGUACACACAAGUGUCAUCUAGAUAAAAAAAAACACAACGUCAACCAGAACUAAUCUACAACAUCAACAACAAAAGUAAAACAAAAGAUACAAUUUGAAGGGCAUUUCGUUAGAGAAGCCAUUGACAGUCCCACACCAUUGACAGCAUUGCGUUUGCGACCUCGGGGUCUUCGAUGCUUGCGUCGGAGCUGUAUACCAAUGAGCGAUUGGCGCCUGGUAUCAUCUGAUUCAAGUGAAACUGAUGCCCUUCCUCGGGUUCUUUUAUUUUCGUACUGCAAAAAGACCAUAAUAGCUGUGCACCCAGAGAACAUCAGCAGCAGCACGACUCUAAAACAAGAUUUAAAAAAAACGGUCAUAUGGGAUUCAAAAUCAGUGGAAUUUAACGAGCUGCGCUUAAUUAGAAACUGUAGCUAAAGAAAUCAAAGGAUCUAAAGAAAACUAUUUUGUAAGAGGCUCAGGCAGACAAAUCAAUCGUAGACAGACUGAUCUGUGUGUAUGAUAUAAUACAAAUACUUAUUGUUGGAGAGAGGCAUUUAAUACAUUUCAGACUAUCUCGAAUUUUCUGGAUUACUUGCGAUAAAUGUAACAUCACAUACUUGAUCGAUCUUUAGGACCUUUCUGAUGAAUUUUAUCAAUUGCCAAGAAAGUUAGAACAUUACUAAUAUCGGACACUUCGAACUCAUGAGCAAAUACAAAGCAACACAACAGUCCAAAAAACUAGGUUGUCCGUGCAGGAAUUCCAAUUAGACUACCUUAAUAGAGUCGCUCAUCAGAAACCUUCGAUGGGUCCUAGCACCAUCAGAAAAUCGGAUCCCCACUCUACAUGAUCCAGGAGCUUUGAUCUCGGGCUAUUCUGGUAGUGGUGGGUAAACAAUUGGCUAAGUAACCUCAGCAGCAGCAAACUCCGCUUCCACUUCCUGUCUUGAGGAUGCUCCAGACGACUUCGCAAAUCAACUCCAUGCGUUGUGGAUCUGAUAUUAAACAUGGGCCGCUCACUGCUGACUGUUGCUGCUCAUCUGGCUCCAAGUCGACGAUACCUACAAGAACCCCAAAUUCAAUGUUAGACUUAUUGUCGAAUAGUAGUCAAAACAUGUUGGACAAAGAAGGUUACAGAGCACUGCCAAAAGACCAAAAGUCCAACACUUAAUUAUCAAUGUUCUUUAGAAGGUCGGCUAGCGUCCUUUGCGGCUUCAUGGGGACGCUUAUGAGAUGGGAAAGCAACUGGCUGCUUCCCAAGAGGAACCAUGUCCACGGAGCACACAAGAUCCUGUUUGACAAUACUGUUAACGAGUUAACCUGGUGAAAAUCAAACACUUACAUGAACAGCAUCACCCCAAACCCCGAAUUUUUUCAAAAUUCAUGUUCCAAAACAGUUUCAUGACUUAAAGCACGAAGACUGCAACCGUUGAUAGAUAGCACAGGAGGAUCGCAUCUUUUGCCCUGUGAUAGGAUCGGUCAAUAGGAUGGAAGGCAUGUGUAAUAGCUUAUAGUAAGUGGAAACUUUCCUGCCUUCUUCUGUGUCAUCAUACGCCUGUCAAUAAAGUGGUGGCGCCAAACCACACUGAAGAUGUGCAAAAAUCACACUUCAACAGCAAAAACUGCAUUAGGAAAAUGAUGAUAAAAUUUUCCUUACACAGAGAAGUCUAAGAAAUAGGAAAGAUAAGAUGGACUUGCCAGAAUAUAAAAGAGGUACCAACAGUGUCCUUCACUGCCUCAUGUCCCCAUGUAUCCCGAUUCAACUGUGGCCCAAUUACCAAAAAGUAUUAACAGGACAACCCAUCAAGAACUCAAAUCAAUGACCUCACUAUGCCAAACACUAAAAUCCUCAUCCAAACUAUGUUCCACAUGUACAUCUGCAAAUCUAUUAAAAAUCUCAUUUAUUUUAUCUUGACAAUCCUUUGUGUAUGUAACAUAAUGCAUACCAUAUAACUAGCAAAUUUGACCAGCAACCACUUCAUCUGUUUUGCACCAUCUAUUUUCUAUUUUAGCCUGCAAAAUAGCAAGUUUCAGAAGCUGUAAACUGGUUCUCCAAGUAUGUUUUGAGAAACAAUAAAUGAUCAAAGUAAAUGCAUAAUUAGCCACUUGUCCAAGCUAAGAGUCAUGUUCAUUCCACAAGCAUUUGGCUCUAACAACAGAAAUUAAAUAAUUACCAGAAUGGAUAGCGCACAUUAUUUUAUGAAGCUCCCAAAUGGGAUUGAAAGUGUCAUAUUUGUUCAAAUGUGCUUUGGAACAUAAAAACAAAUGGUGGAAGAUAGAGAGCUACUAAUGAGUCCCAUGGUGAAUCACCUACAUGACCCACAUAGAUAUUGGCCUAUCUUCUGCCCCACCUUGACUAUUGAUUGGCUUUAUCUUCAAAAUUCCUAAAAAUGUCUAAGAUAUUUAAUCCAUUGUUGACCACCUUCUAUUUUUAAUCUAUAAGGUGGAAUAUUUUUGCUAUGUUGACAAUCUAUUGUCCACAAAAUUUGACAUUUUGUGGUUGACAAUAGGUCAAGGGCCUCGUAGAAAUGGAUUAAACUCUAAUCAAAAUAGGUUUUCAAUUAGUAGCAAAAACCAAUUUUUGUAUUAAUGGAGUAACACACAUAUGGUAGCUAAUUAUAAAGUAGUAGAUAUUUUUUUUUAUGUUGAUGAUAUGAUUGAUAUGUGUACUUCUAAUCUCCAAAAUUACAUUGUCCACAUGACAAAAAUUCAAAAAGCCUUAGUUGUAAAUAAAAUGAAGAUAGCUUAAGUUGUUUUUCCAUAUUCAGGAUUUGUGACUAGGUCAAUUGUGAAGCAAGUGGAGGAGAAAAGUGGGUGAAUUUUUAAUAUUGAAGUAUUCUAAAGUUGCAAACUUGAUAGUCGGAAUAUCAAAAUGGAAGGUACGAAGAAGCAGCAAUUUACAACACAAUCUAUAUUGCAUUGAGUGAGUAUGAGUGUGAAGAAGAGAAGAGAGGAGAGGAGGGGAGAGAGAAGGGAGAGCAUUUCUAAAGUAAAUUAAGUCUUUAAGUCAUUUUGGUUUUGAGCAACAAAGACACCAUUUCUAUUGAAAGAAAUUAAAAAUUCUUACAAAAUUCUAGUAAAGUUAAUUGUCAAAGAGCGGAGUAUAAGUCUAUGCAACUCUUUACACAAGAUAAGUUAGAACUAUUACUUUUUCACUUUAUGGUUUAUAAUUACUUAUUAAAAUAUUGUAGCAUUUUGAUACUUUAAUUUUUUUAAUUUAGAAUUAAAAUUAAAUCUUUAUAAAGUAACAUAUUACUUGAUAUAUAUUAAACAAAAAAUUAUCAAAUUAAGCAACUAUGCCAUAAAUAUUGUAAUACUUAUGCCAUUGAUUGGAAUUUAUCCAAGAUUAAAAUAAGCACUUUGUCUUGGCCAUUUUUUUUGGAAUCUUUAGAAAAAAAAAAAUAAUUUUAGCUUAUAAGAUAAUUUUUUGUACUAUACAACUAUUAUAGCAUAGAAUCUAAUCUUAAUUUUGUUUCAUAAUAUUAAAACAAUAAUAAUUUUCUACCAAAGACUACAUUAUUUUGGAAGGCAAAUUUAGUACUUUCAUAGAAGCUUGCAUUGACAAAGUCAAAUACUUUUUUAUCAAGGAGAGAAGUUUCUUGCACCAAGUCAUUUGGCUUCAAUUGAGAUACACAAGAGAAUAUUGUGGGUGCAUUUUUUAUUUCGAAAGAUUACAAAUUUCACAUGAUGCAUGAAAAAAUGCUUGCCAAAUUGAAUAUAGCAAAGAAUAGAAAGAAAGAUGAGUAUGAUGCAAUGUGAGUGGAAUAAUCAACAAUAAGCUAAGAAUUUGUUGCAAAGUUAGGUUAACCAUGUAAUAUUAUUGUAUAAUAAUAUAACUAUAUGGUGAAAGAUAAAAUAUGGGUAUUAUUAUAUAAGAGCCUAAUAGAAAGAUCUAGAAGAUGGAGGUGACUAAAUGAUAGGAAGGUAAUAAAAACUUCUAGUAUUAAUGUUAUAUCAGGUUGCAAAUUAUAGGGAAAAAAAAAAAAAAAAAAAAAAAAAAUCUUCUAAUUACUUUGUAAGGCCAUAAAUAAGACAAAAAAAAAAGUAGAUUAAAAAAAUUCAUGUUUAAGGGAGUUUAAAUUGAAGAAUGGUAAUCAUGAUAGCUUUGAUGGCAAGAAUCCUUACUGAUCUCCAAAUAGACUGAUUAAAAUUAGAAUUAUAGUUGAAACUUACAACUAAAUUAUUAAAUUAAUUGAUUUUUAAGAUUUAAAAUUCAGAUUUGGGCUUGUAAAUAGUCAAUCGUAGGUUUAAAAUGUAUUUUAGGAACAUUGACGGUGUUAUUUUUGCCAAAAAGAUGUUAGUUUUUGAAUUAUAGGCAUUUUCAGACUUAAAAUCGGAUUGAGGCUUAGAGUGAUUGUGGACCCUUGAUCUUAGUUAGGAGUUUUUUUAUUUAGAUGGUGGAGAUGUAGCCGCCACCUUUGGGCCUCCUCCUACGUGGUUAAGAGGGAUUGGAUGGCCGAGCUCCUUCUCUCUCUUCCCCCUUUUGUAAGAUGAAGCCCUACCAAAUCAUUCGUAGGCUUUUAAUUGAAGGAAUUUUCUUCUACCUUAUCAUUACUUCGGUAUUUUUUCCUCUUAGUCACUCAAUUUUUUUACUCUUUAAGCAAUAUUUAAUACCCUUGUUCUUUUAGUUACUAGCUUCUCAAUGAUGUAAGCCACAAAUAAUUUAAAGUUUAGACGGAUUUUUGGCAAAUUUCUAAGUGAUAGGGGGGCUAUUGUCCUUGACAACAUAAGAGCAUCAACUUCAAAAAUUUGUAACUCAGUGACUUCUAACUCAACUUUAAUUUGAUUUAUUAUUGUGAAUUCAAUUUAAAGUUUUGUUAAUUAAAAAAAUUGAGUCACUAAAUUUUAAGUUAUAAAAAAAAAUUGAUCAUUUUUAAAGUGAAGAUGGAUCUACUACCUUCGCAGUUUAGAAAUAUUUGCUCUGGAAAAACAUAGCUUAAUACCUACUGAUAUUUUGUCAUCAAAUCUUUUUUUUGGAAAAAGAGCCUUGAUAAGUUUAGUUAUAGGAAAAAAUUAGAAUUUUUAACUUUGAAUCACUAACCAAUUUCUUAGUGAAUUUUUAAGUAGAAGAGGGUCUACUGCCAAAGCAAUCUAAGUGGCUCUACUUGAAAAAAACCAUAUCUCAAGCAUUUCGGAUUGGAUUGCCACAAGAUUUGGAGAGGUAGGAGUAUGCUAGAGUUCACCAAAAUUCACAUGCAUGGAAGUUUUGGAGAAUUUUUGGUGAAAUUUUGAGUGGCAAAGGGUGGAUGCCUCGAACUUAAUAUAUUUAAGAUAUGUUAUUUUUUUUUCUUCUCUAAUCAUCCUCUAAUUACAUUCUUUUAGCACCUAAUCUAUUAUACUAGUUUUUACUUGUCUUAUUAUCAUUCAUUAAUUUUAUUUAAUAAUUUUUAAGAACUUUUCUCUCACUCCAAUAAUUAUUGGUAAAGUUUUAUCUUUUCAUCUAUCUUUAUCUUUAAAAGAUAAAAGAAAAAAACUAUUCCUAUCUUUUUAUUUUUACCAUUUAUUUUUAAUCUUAUUUUAUAACUUUUAUAUUUUUACUUUUAACUUUUUAUUGUUGUUAUUUUAAAUUCUUCACUCAAUUUUUAGUUAUUAAUUCUAACUUAUUUUAUUUUAUUUUAUUUUAUUUAUAAUUUUCAAAGUUUAAGCUUGAUCAAGUAAACCUUGAAAGGUAAUUAACUAAUUAAACUAUAACAUUUAAGAAAUCAUAAAAAUUAUAUACUUGACUUGUUGUAUUUGGUUGGACUAAUUGUGAUUAUUAAAUCAUUUAUUUAUUUAUUUAUUUAUUUAUUUAUUUAUUUAUUUAUUUAUUUAUUUAUUUAUUUAUUUAUUUAUUUAUUUAUUUAUUUAUUUAUUUAUUUAUUUAUUUAUUUAUUUAUUUAUUUAUUUAUUUAUUUAUUUAUUUAUUUUAUGAUUUAUUUACCCACAUUGGUUAAAAUUGAAUUUUAAUCUAAGUUACAAUUGAAUCAAAUUGAACUUAAGUGAGGAUAGGGAAAAAAAAAAAAAAAAAAAAAAAAAAAAAAAAAAAUGCUCACAAUUACCACACCAUCUUUCUAUAUUUUGAAAGAUAAACAUUUUCAACAAAACUACAUAAAGCAUUACAGGUUAGGUGCAACUAUAGCAAUGCAAUCCAAGGCUUGCAUAAUAAGUAAUUUAUUUUCUAUUGUAAUAUAGUAAUACAACUAUAUAGUAAAAAAUAAAAAUAAAAUUGAUUGUUAUUAUAAAAGAGCCUAAUAGAAAGUUGUAAUAGAAGAACAAUGAUAAAUUAUAGAAAGAUAGUAAAACAUUUAGUCUUAAUGUAAUCUUUUAUAAAAGAAACUUCUAUUUACUUUGUAGAAGUAUAAAUGAACCAAAUCAAAGUAAAUAAAACAAAAAUAAAUAAUAUAAACAUAUUUAAAAGAGAAUUAAUAAUAAAUUAAAUUAAAAUAUACCUCAAAUUAUCAAAAAUUGAUACUUGUAAAAGAACUAUUGUCAAUGAGAGUCAAAAUCACAUUUCAAGGCACAAAAUUGUGUACCUAUGAUGUCUCUUCGUUUCUUUUGUAAAUCAAAGAGUGGAACUUAAGAAAAGACUUUAUAGGAUUUCUUUGAGCAUUAGUUUUGAGAAAUUUGAGUUUGUAAUGACUUUAUAAGAGCUUUGCAAAGUCAUGAUUUUUUUUGGUAGAUAUGAUUUUGUGAAAUAAAAAAAAGGUGUAUAUUUGAGAGAAAUUUGUGACUUUGAUAAUAGAUCUACAAGUGAAAAUUUGUGGAUUUAUGUUUAUAGUUGUUCUUAUUGUGCACUAUAAAUUUGAGUGUAAUCAAAUGGUUAGAUUGAAGGCUAUUGAAGUUCAAGUAGGUUGGGGUCUUGAAAAUAGGAUUUUGAAGAUUAGUAAGGAUUUUUAAGAUCUUUAGCAAUUUGCUAGUUGGAUUGAGGUGAAAUUAUAUAUGUGAAGUAGUAGACUUGAUUUCCAACAUAUAUGUGAAUUUUGAGAGGUUUUGACAAUGUAAUUAAGAGAUUUUUGGCUCAAGGAGUUUAGCAUUAAGAUUGGAGGAGGAAGUUGGCCAACACCUGAGAAAAUUUUAUGAUUUGUCAUCUAUUUGAUAUAUGUGAGUUUAUUAAAAAAAAAUUGUGCUUGUUGCUAACUUAGUUGUUACAAGAUAUACAAAGUUUGAAUCAAAAUUAAUCCUUCAAUCAUUUUUUUUUGAAUUUUGAAUUUGUAAUAGGUUUAUUCAAAAUUUUAUUUAAGAUUUAGGAUUUGAUUAAGGAUUAAUUAGGAUUGAUUUAGAAUCUAGAAUUUGAAUAGGAUUUGAUUAGAAUUAAUUAAGAUUGAUUUAGGAUUUAAGAUUUGAAUAAGAUUUAAUUUUGAUUUAGGAUUUAAUUAGGAUUUUAUUAAAAUUUAUUAGACAUGAUCUAAGAUUUAGAAUUUCUAUUAGGAUUUGACCUAGGAUUUGGUUAAGAUUCAAUUAAGAUUUUAAUUAUGAUUUGACCUAGGAUUUAAUUAAAGUUAAUUAGGAUUUGACCUAGGAUUUAAUUAAAGUUAAUUAGGAUUUGAUAAGGAUUUAUUUAGGAUUUAUUUAGGAUUUAUUUAGAAUUUAUUUAGAAUUUUUAUUUUUAUUAUUUCUUUAGGAUUUUUUAAUAUUAUAUUUUUAGUAUUUCUUAAAUAUUAUUUUUAUUUCUUUAAAGGUACGUUUUUAUAUUUCUUGAAGAUUCUUAUUUUUUUAAAAUUAAUUUAGGACUUCUUUGUAUUUAUUUUAUAAUUUCUUUUAAAUUUAUUUUGAAUUGAAUAAAUUUUGAUUAAGAUUAUUAAGAUUUAUUUAAAUUUUAUUUAUACUUUAUAGGAUUUUUGUUGCAUUUCUACUUACUUUUUAUAAUUAGGUACUCAAUGUUUUCUCAAGCAAGAACAUACAUAAUACAACAUUGUGUGAAUUUUUCAUUUUAUUAAGAGAAUAGAACAACUUGGUAGCAUUUCUCCUACACAAAGGCAUCUACUAAUCCUUAAUAGACAUGCAAGCUAUCUUAUUAUUGAAGUAGUAAGUCUAACAUACAACACUAGAUUAGACAUUCUAAUCCUACCAUUUCAAACAUUGCACACUAUACAACCUCUAGAUAUACAUAUAUUUGGACCAUUCAAGACAUAUUUCAAAGAAUAUUGAAAUUAUUGGACUUUCAAAAACCUAAACUAACUUUCACAAAAAUAAAUUCAUGUACAUUAGAUGUUCUUUUGCUAAAAACAUGCUUUAACAAUGAACAAUAUCACCAAAAGUUUCAACUCUACUAAUAUCUUUUUAUUUAACAAAAUGAUAAUGGGUAAUCACAUAGACUCAAGUGAUACAUGCAUGUAAUCUAAAUAAAUCCUAAAUAAAUCCUAAAUAGAAGCUAGACAAGGUAAAAACAAUGCAAUUGAAAAUUUUAUAGAGAAUGAAAGCAAUAGCAUGGAGCUAAUUCAUGAAGAUUUACAUGUCUUGUUGAUUCACAAUAUUAUAGUAGUGUUAUGUGGUAAUACAACUAUAUAGAUGUUAUUAUAGAAGAGCCUAGUAGAAAGGUGUAGUAGAAAAAUAAAAAUAAAUAAUAGAAAGGUAGUAAAAGAUUUAGACUUAAUAUUGUAUUUUAUAGAAGGAACUUCUAUUUAUUUUGUAGAGGCAUAAAUGAACCAAAUCAAAGUAAAUGAGAUAAUAAAUUUUAUAUAGACAUAUUUAAGAGAGAGUUAACAAUAGAUUAAAGCAAAAUUUACCUCAAAUUAUCAAAAAUUGAUAAUUAAAAAAGACUAAUUAUUAAUCUGGAUCAAAAUCACUCUAUGAGGCACAAAACCAGGUCUAUACAACCACUCAAGGGCUCUUUUGUAGAUUGAAGAGUUGAAUUUGAAAGCAAACUUAAAGAAAAAAAAUUUAAACAUUAAUUUUAUGUUAUUUGCAUCAAUCUUAAGAUUUUGAAGGAUUUUCAAAAUUGACAAUAUUUUUAAUAGAUUAAAGUUUG